This 1086-nucleotide long non-coding RNA is filed under the name Canis lupus familiaris (dog). Its description in RNAcentral is "lncRNA (ENSCAFG00030018562.1)". Lineage: Eukaryota; Metazoa; Chordata; Mammalia; Carnivora; Canidae. The record is from RNAcentral.
ACACAGGAGGAAAAGGUGGAGGAGCAGGUCCAGCACGUGCACACACACACCCGCACCCUUCCUCCUGCCUGGGGAGCUGCUGGGUUCCCACCUUACCGUCCACGGGGCUUUCUGCCUCACGAGCACCCACGCUCCUGCUCAUUUUUUUUUAAGAUUUUAUUUAUUCAUGAGAGACAGAGAGAGAGAGAGAGAGAGAGAGAGAGAGAGAGAGAGAGGGAGAGGGGCAGAGACACAGGCAGAGGGAGAAGCAGGCUCCAUGCGGGGAGCCCGACACAGGCCUUGAUCCUGGGACCCCAGGGUCAUGCCCUGGGCCGAAGGCAGGUGCCAAACCACUGGGCCCCCCGGCGGUCCCCUCCCUCAUUAACCCAGAGCUUGGGGCCAAGUGGUUCAGUACCUCCUCACUUUGCAGGCCGGGGGAUCCGCCUGUCCCCCCACGACCCCCUGCAAGUCUACGGGCUUCUCAACAUUCACUCCAUAGACGUUUGUUCUCCACAAUGUCGCACCCCUUCCAGAGUCCCUGGAGAUGGAACCUCCUCCACCAACUUGCUGGCCCUUGCUGGUCAGUGCGAUGCAGACGAACCCCCCACACCCGCUCCUAGGUUCCGAAAGCUGGUAGGGCCAGCGGGUCGGGACCUCAGCCGGUCUGCGCGGCCCGCCAUCCGGGCUGCCAGGGCCUGGUCCACGCGGCUCCACCCCGCCUUGCGCCGCUCCAGCAGCACGAACCGGGGCUGCUCAGCGUUUACGGCUUAUAAACCACCUCAAGGGGCUGGUGCUCCUGUCAAGGCCAAGUCUAGGCUCGGGGCCGCUAGGCCUCCUGCUGUCCGGCCAGUGCGGCCUGUGAGUCUGGCUCCUCCUCGCCUGCCCGCCCGCCCCUGGUCACCCUCAGCCCUAAGCUGCCCUCCGGCCGGGAGGCCCAACUCAGCAGCCUGCCCGGGACAGCUGCUCCCGGCAUGUCCAGCCCCCAGGGGCUCCCCGUGGGUUUACCUGGUUGUAUCCUGUCAUUUAAUUUUGUGCUCUAGCAAAACUAACUUUCACGUGGCCAGUGACGAAGGCCAAAGGACAACUGUCCUGGAGGCCUACGGGUAA